AUUGAACGCUGGCGGCAGGCUUAACACAUGCAAGUCGAGCGGGGAAGGGUAGCUUGCUACCUGACCUAGCGGCGGACGGGUGAGUAAUGCUUAGGAAUCUGCCUAUUAGUGGGGGACAACAUUCCGAAAGGAAUGCUAAUACCGCAUACGCCCUACGGGGGAAAGCAGGGGAUCUUCGGACCUUGCGCUAAUAGAUGAGCCUAAGUCAGAUUAGCUAGUUGGUGGGGUAAGGCCUACCAAGGCGACGAUCUGUAGCGGGUCUGAGAGGAUGAUCCGCCAAGCUGGGACAGAGACACGGCCCAGACUCCUCCGGGAGGCAGCAGGGGGGAAUAUUGGACAAUGGGCGCAAGCCUGAUCCAGCCAUGCCGCGUGUGUGAAGAAGGCCUUUUGGUUGUAAAGCACUUUAAGCGAGGAGGAGGCUACUUGGAUUAAUACUCUAGGAUAGUGGACGUUACUCGCAGAAUAAGCACCGGCUAACUCUGUGCCAGCCGCCGCCGUAA
RNAcentral lists this ribosomal RNA (500 nucleotides) under uncultured bacterium. RNAcentral describes it as "partial 16S ribosomal RNA". It matches the Rfam family "Bacterial small subunit ribosomal RNA", at positions 30 to 523 of the family's 1533-position model. The record is from RNAcentral.